UAUACUUGUCCACAUCCUUAGACUUAGAACCUACUCAUUUGAUCUCUUGAACACAAGCUAUAUUAAUCCUCCUUUUUCUAAGAAUCUUUACGAGCUCUACGGACUUAAUUUGAAGAGUCCCUAUGUUCCAAUACCCUACUCUCAACCUAGAGUCUCUCUUAUACUACUUAAUCCUACUUCAACCAGGACCGAGGACUGCCCCUGUUACCCAACCCAACCA
This 220-nucleotide long non-coding RNA is filed under the name Capsicum annuum. RNAcentral describes it as "long non-coding RNA (CANN_LNC012613)". Lineage: Eukaryota; Viridiplantae; Streptophyta; Magnoliopsida; Solanales; Solanaceae. The record is from RNAcentral.